This 274-nucleotide ribosomal RNA is filed under the name uncultured bacterium. RNAcentral describes it as "partial 16S ribosomal RNA". It matches the Rfam family "Bacterial small subunit ribosomal RNA", at positions 523 to 796 of the family's 1533-position model. The record is from RNAcentral.
AUACGAAAGGUGCAAGCGUUGUUCGGAUUUACUGGGCGUAAAGAGAGUGUAGGUUGUUUAUUAAGUCGGAUGUGAAAUCCCGGGGCUCAACCUCGGAACUGCAUUCGAUACUGGUAGACUAGAGUUCGGGAGGGGUAAGCGGAAUUCCGUGUGUAGCAGUGAAAUGCGUAGAUAUACGGAGGAACACCUGAGGCGAAGGCGGCUCACUGGACCGAUACUGACACUGAGACUCGAAAGCGUGGGUAGCAAACAGGAUUAGAUACCCCAGUAGUCC